CUGAGCUGGUGAUGAUACAAAGUUAUCCCUGUCUGAAAAGGAAACUCUGCUUGUGGAGUUGUGGAAUCUGAAAGCUCAG
Molecule: small nucleolar RNA, 79 nt
Organism: Anolis carolinensis (green anole)
Lineage: Eukaryota; Metazoa; Chordata; Lepidosauria; Squamata; Anolidae
Source: Ensembl